AUUGAACGCUGGCGGCAUGCUUUACACAUGCAAGUCGAACGGUAACAGGUUAAGCUGACGAGUGGCGAACGGGUGAGUAAUGCAUCGGAACGUGCCCGAUCGUGGGGGAUAACGCAGCGAAAGCUGCGCUAAUACCGCAUACGAUCUGAGGAUGAAAGCGGGGGACGGUAAGGCCUCGCGCGAUCGGAGCGGCCGAUGUCAGAUUAGGUAGUUGGUGGGGUAAAGGCUCACCAAGCCGACGAUCUGUAGCCGGUCUGAGAGGACGACCAGCCCACCUAGGACUGAGACCCGGCCCAGACUCCUCCUGGAGGCAGCAGUGGGGAAUUUUGGACAAUGGGCGAAAGCCUGAUCCAGCAAUGCCGCGUGCAGGAAGAAGGCCUUCGGGUUGUAAACUGCUUUUGUACGGAGCGAAAAGGCUCUCUCUAAUACAGGGGGCUCAUGACGGUACCGUAAGAAUAAGCACCGGCUAACUACGUGCCAGCCGCCGCCGUAA
This 493-nucleotide ribosomal RNA is filed under the name uncultured bacterium. Its description in RNAcentral is "partial 16S ribosomal RNA". It matches the Rfam family "Bacterial small subunit ribosomal RNA", at positions 30 to 523 of the family's 1533-position model. The record is from RNAcentral.